RNAcentral lists this ribosomal RNA (446 nucleotides) under uncultured bacterium. Its description in RNAcentral is "partial 16S ribosomal RNA". It matches the Rfam family "Bacterial small subunit ribosomal RNA", at positions 338 to 795 of the family's 1533-position model. The record is from RNAcentral.
CCUACGGGCGGCAGCAGUCGAGAAUCAUUCACAAUGGGGGAAACCCUGAUGGUGCGACGCCGCGUGGGGGAAUGAAGGUCUUCGGAUUGUAAACCCCUGUCAUGUGGGAGCAAAUUAAAAAGAUAGUACCACAAGAGGAAGAGACGGCUAACUCUGUGCCAGCAGCCGCGGUAAUACAGAGGUCUCAAGCGUUGUUCGGAAUCACUGGGCGUAACGCGUGCGUAGGCUGUUUCGUAAGUCGUGUGUGAAAGGCGCGGGCUCAACCCGCGGACGGCACAUGAUACUGCGAGACUAGAGUAAUGGAGGGGGAACCGGAAUUCUCGGUGUAGCAGUGAAAUGCGUAGAUAUCGAGAGGAACACUCGGGGCGAAGGCGGGUUCCUGGACAUUAACUGACGCUGAGGCACGAAGGCCAGGGGAGCGAAAGGGAUUAGAUACCCUUGUAGUC